UGGGGAAUUUUGGACAAUGGGCGAAAGCCUGAUCCAGCAAUGCCGCGUGUGUGAAGAAGGCCUUCGGGUUGUAAAGCACUUUUGUCCGGAAAGAAAUCCUUGGCUCUAAUACAGUCGGGGGAUGACGGUACCGGAAGAAUAAGCACCGGCUAACUACGUGCCAGCAGCCGCGGUAAUACGUAGGGUGCAAGCGUUAAUCGGAAUUACUGGGCGUAAAGCGUGCGCAGGCGGUUUGCUAAGACCGAUGUGAAAUCCCCGGGCUCAACCUGGGAACUGCAUUGGUGACUGGCAGGCUAGAGUAUGGCAGAGGGGGGUAGAAUUCCACGUGUAGCAGUGAAAUGCGUAGAGAUGUGGAGGAAUACCGAUGGCGAAGGCAGCCCCCUGGGCCAAUACUGACGCUCAUGCACGAAAAGCGUGGGGAGCAAACAGGAUUAGAUACCCUGGUAGUCCACGCCCUAAAACGAUGUCAACUAGUUGUUGGGGACUCAUUUCCUUAGUAACGUAGCUAACGCGUGAAGUUGACCGCCUGGGGAGUACGGUCGC
This 543-nucleotide ribosomal RNA is filed under the name uncultured bacterium. RNAcentral describes it as "partial 16S ribosomal RNA". It matches the Rfam family "Bacterial small subunit ribosomal RNA", at positions 355 to 889 of the family's 1533-position model. The record is from RNAcentral.